CGACGCUAGCUCGAAAACUCCGCCAGGGCCGGAAGGCAGCAACGGUAUCGUGCGAUGCGGGUGCCGGGGAACGUCGGCAGGG
RNAcentral lists this signal recognition particle RNA (82 nucleotides) under Lysobacteraceae bacterium. RNAcentral's name for it is "partial signal recognition particle sRNA small type". It matches the Rfam family "Bacterial small signal recognition particle RNA", at positions 15 to 97 of the family's 97-position model. Rfam says of the family: The signal recognition particle (SRP) is a universally conserved ribonucleoprotein involved in the co-translational targeting of proteins to membranes. Archaeal SRP consists of a 7S RNA and homologues of the eukaryotic SRP19 and SRP54 proteins. The record is from RNAcentral. Lineage: Bacteria; Pseudomonadati; Pseudomonadota; Gammaproteobacteria; Lysobacterales; Lysobacteraceae.